AGUGAACGCUGGCGGUAGGCCUAACACAUGCAAGUCGAACGGCAGCACAGUAAGAGCUUGCUCUUACGGGUGGCGAGUGGCGGACGGGUGAGGAAUACAUCGGAAUCUACUUUUUCGUGGGGGAUAACGUAGGGAAACUUACGCUAAUACCGCAUACGACCUACGGGUGAAAGCAGGGGAUCUUCGGACCUUGCGCGAUCGAAUGAGCCGAUGUCGGAUUAGCUAGUUGGCGGGGUAAAGGCCCACCAAGGCGACGAUCCGUAGCUGGUCUGAGAGGAUGAUCAGCCACACUGGAACUGAGACACGGUCCAGACUCCUACGGGAGGCAGCAGUGGGGAAUAUUGGACAAAGGGCGCAAGCCUGAUCCAGCCAUACCGCGUGGGUGAAGAAGGCCUUCGGGUUGUAAAGCCCUUUUGUUGGGAAAGAAAAGCAGCAGGUUAAUACCCCGCUGUUCUGACGGUACCCAAAGAAUAAGCACCGGCUAACUUCGUG
RNAcentral lists this ribosomal RNA (492 nucleotides) under uncultured bacterium. RNAcentral's name for it is "partial 16S ribosomal RNA". It matches the Rfam family "Bacterial small subunit ribosomal RNA", at positions 29 to 507 of the family's 1533-position model. The record is from RNAcentral.